GCCGAAGUGGUGAAACUGGUAAACACGCUACGUUCAGGGCGUAGUGGGCGCAAGCUCUUCGGGGUUCAAAUCCCCGCUUCGGCA
This 84-nucleotide transfer RNA is filed under the name candidate division NPL-UPA2 bacterium Unc8. RNAcentral's name for it is "tRNA-Leu". It matches the Rfam family "tRNA". Rfam says of the family: Transfer RNA (tRNA) molecules are approximately 80 nucleotides in length. The record is from RNAcentral.